ACGUAGCGUUGGCUUCAUAGCAGGAAGUGAGUCACCUAGGAGGAGAGCAGAGGGCAGAUCUUUUUUCGGAGGGAGUUGCGUGUACAGCUGCGCACAGCUAAAGAUGCAAGCGAAGUCUUCCUGGUCCGUGACAUCACCACAACUACGCACUGCAACCGCUCAGCGACAGGCAUACAAUAUGGAGGUGUCUCUGUCUCUAUUGCCAUCAGUCCCCUGGAAAAAAACACCCUUGCAGAACCCUCACUGCAUAACCUGCACGGGAGUCUAUAGAAACCUCACUGCACCGGAACCAACGUGGGAGUCUACGGAAACCUCACUGCACUGGAACCAGCAUAAGAGUCUAUAGAAGUCUCACUGCACAACCAACAAGAGAGUCUAUAGACACCUCACUGCACUGGAACCAACACGAGAAUCUAUUGAAACCUCACUCCACCUGAAAAAAACACGAGAGUCUAUAGAAACCCCACUGCUGAGUUAGUCUUUCAGACUGUUCACAGGAAAGGGCUGGUCUCAGGUGACAUCCAAACUACUUCAGGGCAAAUUACUUUUGUUUCUGUAAUUAGAAAAAAUAAAAUAAUAAUAAUAAUCCAUAGAAUUUAAUGGUGUGACCAUCUACAUCCAAGAAUUAAAGCUGUGGCCUGGAGCGCCAUCUACUGGAGUCUUUAGGAAUUGGUUGAAAAUUAAUUCUCUAGCCUCGAGGCACCUACACCAACUUCCCACGUCUUUCUUUACUAGAAACAUUUAUUUAUUUAUUCAAACUUCAGUAGGAUAGGAGUAAAGUGUUCAAGUACUUAAUUUUGCAAUGCCUUCUGUCAAAAGACAGCAAAAACACAAGAAACUUUAUUUUUUCUUUCCUGGUAUGAUAUAUCUUUACAUUUAUAAGCAUUGCACAGACCAUAAUACGUGGUGUUCUAGCUGGCCAAUGAACUAAAGCUGACUCGUGUAUUCAUUGUAGAACCUGAUAUCUAGCCCUGCAGUUUAGGUAGCUUCAAGAAACCUCCCUGUGCAGACUAUGCUUUUCGACAGUCCUGGCCUUUCAGGGUCACCUGGAGGGUGACAUUGUCCCCGCCCCUGUCAGUAACCAAUCAGCUGUAUCCUCUAAUGACUGACAUGCUCUGCAGACUGUAAGACACUUGACCACGAAAAAACUACGGUGGUGAAAGGACCUAGGAAGUGUAAUUGUAACAGAUUUGCAGGCUGGCAAGCAAUCGAACUGAGAGCUUUGUUUCACUGAGUGUAGUACCAGACGUCAGGUUUGAAAUGAAUAUGAGUGUAACUUUGUUUUACUGAGCGUGGAAACCAGGGGUCAGGUUUGAAAUUAAUAUGUAUGCUUGUGAAAUUAAUAUGCAUGCUUGUGAUAUCAUGUUUCUUUUAGAACUGCACCUUGGAGAUGUAUAAAGUCAACGGAAUUGUGUCACAGGUGAGAUUGAUGGAAAAUUUUGUUAGCUCCAAACACUUUAAUAUUGUGUGUCUCAGAGCAUCUGUGUAGAGAAUGAUAAACUGCAUCCCACUGUGUCUCAGAGCAGCUGUGUAGAGAACGAUAAACUGCAUCCCUGUGUGUCUCAGAGCAGCUGUGUGGAGAAUGAUAAACUGCAUCCCUGUGUGUCUCAGAGCAGCUGUGUAGAGAAUGAUAAACUGCAUCCCUGUGUGUCUCAGAGCAGCUGUGUAGAGAAUGAUAAACUGCAUCCCUGUGUGUCUCGGAGCAGCUGUGUAGAGAAUGAUAAACUGCAUCCCUGUGUGUCUCGGAGCAGCUGAGUAGAGAAUGAUAAACUGCAUCCCUGUGUGUCUCGGAGCAGCUGUGUAGAGAAUGAUAAACUGCAUCCCACUGUGUCUCGGAGCAUCUGUGUAGAGAAUGA
Molecule: long non-coding RNA, 1856 nt
Organism: Polyodon spathula (Mississippi paddlefish)
Lineage: Eukaryota; Metazoa; Chordata; Actinopteri; Acipenseriformes; Polyodontidae
Exons: 3
Source: RefSeq, a predicted model, not a curated record